AGCAGCCGCGGUAAUUCCAGCUCCAAUAGCGUAUAUUAAAGUUGUUGCAGUUAAAAAGCUCGUAGUUGAAUUUCGGGGUUAGUAGGUCGGUCGUGCCACUGGUAUGUACUGGUCUCACUGAUUCCUCCUUCCUGAUGAACCGUAAUGCCAUUAAUUUGGUGAUGCGGGGAAUCAGGGCUGUUACUUUGAAAAAUUAGAGUGUUUAAAGCAGGCUCGCGCUUGAAUACAUUAGCAUGGAAUAAUGAAAUAGGACGUUUGAUUCUAUUUUGUUGGUUUCUAGGAUCGACGUAAUGAUUAAUAGGGAUAGUUGGGGGCAUUAGUAUUCAAUUGUCAGAGGUGAAAUUCUUGGAUUUAUUGAAGACUAACUACUGCGAAAGCAUUUGCCAAGGAUGUUUUCAUUAAUCAAGAACGAAAGUUAGGGGAUCGAAGACGAUCAGAUACCGUCGUAGUCUUAACCAUAAACUAUGCCGACUAGGGAUCGGAUGAUGUUAAU
Molecule: small RNA, 493 nt
Filed under: uncultured Glomus
Lineage: Eukaryota; Fungi; Glomeromycota; Glomeromycetes; Glomerales; Glomeraceae
Description: SSU rRNA
Rfam family: Eukaryotic small subunit ribosomal RNA
Source: RNAcentral